This 1520-nucleotide ribosomal RNA is filed under the name metagenome. RNAcentral's name for it is "bacterial SSU rRNA". It matches the Rfam family "Bacterial small subunit ribosomal RNA". The record is from RNAcentral.
GAGUUUGAUCAUGGCUCAGAUUGAACGCUGGCGGCAGGCCUAACACAUGCAAGUCGAACGGUAACAGGAAACAGCUUGCUGUUUCGCUGACGAGUGGCGGACGGGUGAGUAAUGUCUGGGAAACUGCCUGAUGGAGGGGGAUAACUACUGGAAACGGUAGCUAAUACCGCAUAACGUCGCAAGACCAAAGAGGGGGACCUUCGGGCCUCUUGCCAUCAGAUGUGCCCAGAUGGGAUUAGCUAGUAGGUGGGGUAACGGCUCACCUAGGCGACGAUCCCUAGCUGGUCUGAGAGGAUGACCAGCCACACUGGAACUGAGACACGGUCCAGACUCCUACGGGAGGCAGCAGUGGGGAAUAUUGCACAAUGGGCGCAAGCCUGAUGCAGCCAUGCCGCGUGUAUGAAGAAGGCCUUCGGGUUGUAAAGUACUUUCAGCGGGGAGGAAGGGAGUAAAGUUAAUACCUUUGCUCAUUGACGUUACCCGCAGAAGAAGCACCGGCUAACUCCGUGCCAGCAGCCGCGGUAAUACGGAGGGUGCAAGCGUUAAUCGGAAUUACUGGGCGUAAAGCGCACGCAGGCGGUUUGUUAAGUCAGAUGUGAAAUCCCCGGGCUCAACCUGGGAACUGCAUCUGAUACUGGCAAGCUUGAGUCUCGUAGAGGGGGUAGAAUUCCAGGUGUAGCGGUGAAAUGCGUAGAGAUCUGGAGGAAUACCGGUGGCGAAGGCGGCCCCCUGGACGAAGACUGACGCUCAGGUGCGAAAGCGUGGGGAGCAAACAGGAUUAGAUACCCUGGUAGUCCACGCCGUAAACGAUGUCGACUUGGAGGUUGUGCCCUUGAGGCGUGGCUUCCGGAGCUAACGCGUUAAGUCGACCGCCUGGGGAGUACGGCCGCAAGGUUAAAACUCAAAUGAAUUGACGGGGGCCCGCACAAGCGGUGGAGCAUGUGGUUUAAUUCGAUGCAACGCGAAGAACCUUACCUGGUCUUGACAUCCACGGAAGUUUUCAGAGAUGAGAAUGUGCCUUCGGGAACCGUGAGACAGGUGCUGCAUGGCUGUCGUCAGCUCGUGUUGUGAAAUGUUGGGUUAAGUCCCGCAACGAGCGCAACCCUUAUCCUUUGUUGCCAGCGGUCCGGCCGGGAACUCAAAGGAGACUGCCAGUGAUAAACUGGAGGAAGGUGGGGAUGACGUCAAGUCAUCAUGGCCCUUACGACCAGGGCUACACACGUGCUACAAUGGCGCAUACAAAGAGAAGCGACCUCGCGAGAGCAAGCGGACCUCAUAAAGUGCGUCGUAGUCCGGAUUGGAGUCUGCAACUCGACUCCAUGAAGUCGGAAUCGCUAGUAAUCGUGGAUCAGAAUGCCACGGUGAAUACGUUCCCGGGCCUUGUACACACCGCCCGUCACACCAUGGGAGUGGGUUGCAAAAGAAGUAGGUAGCUUAACCUACGGGAGGGCGCUUACCACUUUGUGAUUCAUGACUGGGGUGAAGUCGUAACAAGGUAACCGUAGGGGAACCUGCGGUUG